AGAACGAACGCUGGCGGCAGGCUUAACACAUGCAAGUCGAACGCUCCGCAAGGGGAGUGGCAGACGGGUGAGUAACGCGUGGGAACAUACCCCUCGGUUCGGAAUAACUCAGGGAAACUUGAGCUAAUACCGGAUACGGUCGAGAGGCGAAAGAUUUAUCGCCGAGGGAUUGACCCGCGUCCGAUUAGCUAGUUGGUGAGGUAAUGGCUCACCAAGGCGACGAUCGGUAGCUGGUCUGAGAGGAUGAUCAGCCACAUUGGGACUGAGACACGGCCCAAACUCCUACGGGAGGCAGCAGUGGGGAAUAUUGGACAAUGGGCGAAAGCCUGAUCCAGCCAUGCCGCGUGAGUGAUGACGGCCUUAGGGUUGUAAAGCUCUUUCGUCAGGGACGAUAAUGACGGUACCUGAAGAAGAAGCCCCGGCUAACUUCGUGCCAGCAGCC
RNAcentral lists this ribosomal RNA (442 nucleotides) under uncultured bacterium. RNAcentral's name for it is "SSU rRNA". It matches the Rfam family "Bacterial small subunit ribosomal RNA", at positions 26 to 516 of the family's 1533-position model. The record is from RNAcentral.